RNAcentral lists this ribosomal RNA (78 nucleotides) under Phyllotricha varians. RNAcentral describes it as "partial 5.8S ribosomal RNA". It matches the Rfam family "5.8S ribosomal RNA", at positions 75 to 154 of the family's 154-position model. Rfam says of the family: 5.8S ribosomal RNA (5.8S rRNA) is a component of the large subunit of the eukaryotic ribosome. It is transcribed by RNA polymerase I as part of the 45S precursor that also contains 18S and 28S rRNA. Functionally, it is thought that 5.8S rRNA may be involved in ribosome translocation. The record is from RNAcentral. Lineage: Eukaryota; Phaeophyceae; Fucales; Sargassaceae.
CAGAUCCCGUGAUCAUCGAAACUUCGAACGCAUCUUGCGCUCCCGGGAUAUGCCUGGGAGCAUGCUUGUCGGGGAGGA